RNAcentral lists this transfer RNA (120 nucleotides) under Nitrososphaerota archaeon. RNAcentral describes it as "tRNA-Arg". It matches the Rfam family "tRNA". Rfam says of the family: Transfer RNA (tRNA) molecules are approximately 80 nucleotides in length. Their secondary structure includes four short double-helical elements and three loops (D, anti-codon, and T loops). Further hydrogen bonds mediate the characteristic L-shaped molecular structure. tRNAs have two regions of fundamental functional importance: the anti-codon, which is responsible for specific mRNA codon recognition, and the 3' end, to which the tRNAs corresponding amino acid is attached (by aminoacyl-tRNA synthetases). tRNAs cope with the degeneracy of the genetic code in two manners: having more than one tRNA (with a specific anti-codon) for a particular amino acid; and 'wobble' base-pairing, i.e. permitting non-standard base-pairing at the 3rd anti-codon position. The record is from RNAcentral. Lineage: Archaea; Thermoproteati; Nitrososphaerota.
GGGCCCGUGGCCUAGUAAACUGAAUUGCGUGCGACUAGUUUCGCAUUCAACUCGGUCUAGAGUGGAUAAGGCGUUGCCCCUCUAAGGCAGAGAUCGUGGGUUCAAAUCCCACCGGGCCCG